Long non-coding RNA from Felis catus (domestic cat), 1546 nucleotides. RefSeq lists it as uncharacterized. The record is from RefSeq and is a predicted model, not a curated record. Lineage: Eukaryota; Metazoa; Chordata; Mammalia; Carnivora; Felidae. The transcript has 3 exons.
GUUCUGCAGUGAGUCCCUCUCAGAAUAAAAGCAAUGUCCUUGCAAUGGCCUUGAAGGCCCUACAUGAUCUAGCCCCCCAUCACCUUACCUCUGUGAUUUCAUCUCUUAAUAUUCUCCCCCUUGCUCGUCCCUCUCCAGACACACUGGUAUCUUUGCUAUUUCUCAAACACACCAGGCGUAUGCCUGCACACCUGAGGGUCUUUGCUCUAGCUGUCCUAUCAGGAGGCUCUCCUGGCCAACUUUCUCACCUCCUUCAACUCUUAGCAUACAGGUGUGCUACUGACCUACUCUCUUUAAUACUGCAACUUGACCCACCAUCAGCACUUAUUCCCUUACCUUGCUCUAUUUUUCCUUUGUUUCCAUAGCACUUACUUUCUAAUGGGCUCCUGCACUGAUUUGGUCAUACCCUAUGAUCUCAAACAGAUGCGGGCCUCUGGUUUGCUGGGCUACAGCUGUGUUCUCGGAGCCACUGCCCACUUCCCAGGACAGAUGACACUUGUCUAUAACUGCAUCAUCCAGCACAGAAGCUGCUACCGUGGCUUGAAAUGUGGCCAGUCCAAAAUAAGAUGGAUGCUGAGGCCUGAAAAUUCUAAACUCUUCUCAAAACUAGCUGGAGGAUGAAGUCAAUAAGCAGGAGGGCAGAGCCAGAGGCAUAGGAGAACUUGAGUAAACGAGCCUGCACGCUCACACGUAAAGGAGCUACACUGAUCGAGACUGCAAUUCUUCCAUCAAGUGGCAAGCAUACUGUAGAAGAAUGACCAACACAGGUCACACAUGCAGCCUGUUAAAGAAAACAUGUGAAAUGUAAACAGCUAUUUAAUCUGAAAAAAUAUAUAGCUGCAGGUGAAAGAGUAAUAGUAUAUUUGUGUACAGAGUUCUCCACAGCACAAGAUGCGCUGUGGGCAGACAGGGUAGUACAAUGGACUAAGCCCCUGGUCUCACGAAGCUUGUAAUUACAGACAAAUGAAACACAAACAAAAAACCAUGUUUAUUGAGUAUGGUAACUGAUGAGAAAUAACAGCAAAGAAGGUUAAUGAGGAAAGGUUUUCUGAACAUGCCAGAGUCUGAACUUCAAUUUUAAAGGUUGGUAAUACUGAGAGGGUGUGGGAAAUGGUGCAUUACAGGAUGAGGAAAAGUUAAGUAUUUAGGAACGUGGGUGGAAAUUCAGUAACAUACUGCUGUGAUGGCAGCAGGUAAGGUUCUAGACGACUCCACUGUCAGGUUCAUGACACAGUAGGGCAGAAGGAAAAAAACCUUAUAAUCGGAGACAGAGCUUCAACUUGGAAUGCCUGUUCCACUAUGUCCAUCUGUCUGACUCUGGACAAGUAACAACCCUCCCUGUGUCAGUCUCCUCACUUUACAAAGUGGGAAAAUGCAGCUUGGGUCGGGGGCUUAGAGAUGACACGAGACGAGGCGUGUUAAGUAACAUGUGAUAGAAAGGUACUUGAUCAUGGUAGUUAUCACUUAAAAUUUUUUUUUAAAUGUUCAUUCAUUUAUUUCCAUAGAGAGAGAGUGCAAGCAGGGGAGAGGCAGAGAGAGGGAGAGA